This is a transfer RNA of 76 nucleotides. It matches the Rfam family "tRNA". From Rfam's summary of the family: Transfer RNA (tRNA) molecules are approximately 80 nucleotides in length. Their secondary structure includes four short double-helical elements and three loops (D, anti-codon, and T loops).
CGGAGUGUGGCGCAGUUGGUAGCGCGCAGCGUUCGGGUCGCUGAGGCCGUGGGUUCAAGUCCCACCACUCCGACCA